Molecule: ribosomal RNA, 82 nt
Filed under: Litchfieldia stipae
Lineage: Bacteria; Bacillati; Bacillota; Bacilli; Caryophanales; Bacillaceae
Description: Bacillus sp. PS06 Bacterial small subunit ribosomal RNA
Rfam family: Bacterial small subunit ribosomal RNA
Source: Rfam by way of RNAcentral
UUUUUGGAGAGUUUGAUCCUGGCUCAGGAUGAACGCUGGCGGCGUGCCUAAUACAUGCAAGUCGAGCGGAUCUUAGGGAGCU